This 253-nucleotide ribosomal RNA is filed under the name uncultured bacterium. RNAcentral describes it as "partial 16S ribosomal RNA". It matches the Rfam family "Bacterial small subunit ribosomal RNA", at positions 524 to 776 of the family's 1533-position model. The record is from RNAcentral.
UACGUAGGGAGCGAGCGUUAUCCGGAUUUAUUGGGUGUAAAGGGUGCGUAGACGGGAAAUUAAGUUAGUUGUGAAAUCCCUCGGCUUAACUGAGGAACUGCAACUAAAACUGAUAUUCUUGAGUGCAGGAGAGGAAAGUGGAAUUUCUAGUGUAGCGGUAAAAUGCGUAGAUAUUAGGAGGAACACCAGUGGCGAAGGCGACUUUCUGGACUGUAACUGACGUUGAGGCACGAAAGUGUGGGGAGCAAACAGG